Molecule: transfer RNA, 69 nt
Filed under: unidentified
Description: Acanthogobius stigmothonus tRNA-Met
Source: RNAcentral
AGUAAGGUCAGCUAAAUAAGCUUUUGGGCCCAUACCCCAAACAUGACGGUUAGACCCCCUCCCUUGGUA